Non-coding RNA from Mycena olivaceomarginata, 93 nucleotides. The record is from the annotation of a GenBank genome assembly. Lineage: Eukaryota; Fungi; Basidiomycota; Agaricomycetes; Agaricales; Mycenaceae.
ACACCGAUGGUGAAGCGGUUAUCAUGCUUGCCUUCCAUUACAAAUAUGUUUCCCUUGAAGCAAGCGGCAGGGGUUCGACUCCCCUUCGGUGUA